GAAAAUCCGUCGACUUUAUAAAUCGUGAGGGUUCAAGUCC
This 40-nucleotide transfer RNA is filed under the name Lysimachia fistulosa. RNAcentral describes it as "tRNA-Leu". The record is from RNAcentral. Lineage: Eukaryota; Viridiplantae; Streptophyta; Magnoliopsida; Ericales; Primulaceae.